Aedes aegypti (yellow fever mosquito) is the source of this 310-nucleotide long non-coding RNA. RefSeq lists it as uncharacterized. NCBI's taxonomy places the organism in Eukaryota, Metazoa, Arthropoda, Insecta, Diptera, Culicidae. The transcript has 2 exons. The record is from RefSeq and is a predicted model, not a curated record.
UGCUUGAAACUUCGCUUCGGAAGUCCAACCGGCGAAUUCCAGAUUAGUGCUGCGAAGUCAAUAAUCCUGAUAUCAAGUGAAGCGAGGUCGGAGUGAAAAUGACCAAGUCCUGUUUUGAUCGAAUAACCGCAAGAAACAAAUAUAAACAUCUAACUGGGAAGGCUACUGGCUCGGACAAACUACAUCCUCCAUGACUUUCAUCAAUCCCCCAGAGAUUUAUAACAUCCGGGGAUCCAUUGCAGAGCAGUGAAAAUUUUAAAACAAAUAUCUAAUUUUUAAACUUGUUAUCAUGUAUUAUUCAUAUAGUUAU